Molecule: ribosomal RNA, 467 nt
Filed under: uncultured bacterium
Lineage: Bacteria
Description: partial 16S ribosomal RNA
Rfam family: Bacterial small subunit ribosomal RNA
Source: RNAcentral
ACGCACGCUGGCGGCGUGCUUCACCCAUGCAAGUCGAACGGAAAGGCCCUGCUUUUGUGGGGUGCUCGAGUGGCGAACGGGUGAGUAACACGUGAGUAACCUGCCCUUGACUUUGGGAUAACUUCAGGAAACUGGGGCUAAUACCGGAUAGGAGCUCCUGCUGCAUGGUGGGGGUUGGAAAGUUUCGGCGGUUGGGGAUGGACUCGCGGCUUAUCAGCUUGUUGGUGGGGUAGUGGCUUACCAAGGCUUUGACGGGUAGCCGGCCUGAGAGGGUGACCGGCCACAUUGGGACUGGGAUACGGCCCAGACUCCUACGGGAGGCAGCAGUGGGGAAUAUUGCACAAUGGGCGGAAGCCUGAUGCAGCAACGCCGCGUGCGGGAUGACGGCCUUCGGGUUGUAAACCGCUUUCGCCUGUGACGAAGCGUGAGUGACGGUAAUGGGUAAAGAAGCACCGGCUAACUACGUG